GAUGAACGCUGACAGAAUGCUUAACACAUGCAAGUCAACUUGAACUUCGGUUUGGGUGGCGGACGGGUGAGUAACGCGUAAAGAACUUGCCUCACAGCUAGGGACAACAUUUGGAAACGAAUGCUAAUACCUGAUAUUAUGAUUAUAUGGCAUCGUAUAAUUAUGAAAGCUAUAUGCGCUGUGAGAGAGCUUUGCGUCCCAUUAGCUAGUUGGAGAGGUAACAGCACACCAAGGCGAUGAUGGGUAGCCGGCCUGAGAGGGUGAUCGGCCACAAGGGGACUGAGACACGGCCCUUACUCCUACGGGAGGCAGCAGUGGGGAAUAUUGGACAAUGGACCGAGAGUCUGAUCCAGCAAUUCUGUGUGCACGAUGAAGUUUUUCGGAAUGUAAAGUGGUUUCAGUUGAGAAGAAAAAAAUGACGGUACCAACAGAAGAAGUAACGGCUAAAUACGUG
Molecule: ribosomal RNA, 454 nt
Filed under: uncultured bacterium
Lineage: Bacteria
Description: partial 16S ribosomal RNA
Rfam family: Bacterial small subunit ribosomal RNA
Source: RNAcentral